ACGCUCGACACCUACGGGAAGCAGCAGUGGGGAAUAUUGCACAAUGGGGGAAACCCUGAUGCAGCAACGCCGCGUGAAGGAAGACGGUUUUCGGAUUGUAAACUUCUGUUCUUAGUGAAGAUAGUGACGGUAGCUAAGGAGCAAGCCACGGCUAACUACGUGCCGGCAGCCGCGGUAAUCUGAGCGGGCUGGCAAGGC
RNAcentral lists this ribosomal RNA (198 nucleotides) under uncultured bacterium. Its description in RNAcentral is "partial 16S ribosomal RNA". It matches the Rfam family "Bacterial small subunit ribosomal RNA", at positions 326 to 539 of the family's 1533-position model. The record is from RNAcentral.